AACCAGCUCUUCAAGUGGUCGGGAUGAUUAUUGGGCUUAAAGUGUCCGUAGCCGGUUUAGUAAGUUCCUGGUAAAAUCAGGUAGCUUAACUAUCUGUAUGCUAGGAAUACUACUAUACUAGAGGGCGGGAGAGGUCUGAGGUACUAUAGGGGUAGGGGUGAAAUCUUAUAAUCCUUGUAGGACCACCAGUGGCGAAGGCGUCAGACUGGAACGUGCCUGACGGUGAGGGACGAAAGCCAGGGGAGCGAACCGGAUUAGAUACCCGGGUAGUCCUGGCCGUAAACGAUGCAUACUAGGUGAUGGCCCGGCCAUGAGCCGUGUCAGUGCCGUAGGGAAACCGUUAAGUGUGCCGCCUGGGAAGUACGGUCGCAAGGCUAAAACUUAAAGGAAUUGGCGGGGGAGCACCACAAGGGGUGAAGCCUGCGGUUC
This 429-nucleotide ribosomal RNA is filed under the name uncultured archaeon. RNAcentral describes it as "bacterial SSU rRNA". It matches the Rfam family "Archaeal small subunit ribosomal RNA", at positions 474 to 903 of the family's 1478-position model. The record is from RNAcentral.